Fukomys damarensis (Damara mole-rat) is the source of this 861-nucleotide long non-coding RNA. RefSeq lists it as uncharacterized. Lineage: Eukaryota; Metazoa; Chordata; Mammalia; Rodentia; Bathyergidae. The record is from RefSeq and is a predicted model, not a curated record. The transcript is spliced from 3 exons.
CCUGGACCAGGGACGACGGCUUGUCUCGGCUCGCUUUCCCCGGGCUUGCCCGCUGCCUCCGGAUAAAUCCAGGCCCCAGUGACCUUCCUCCCUUCCCGCUCUGCCUGACUGUGGCAGGGCCGGCCGCGUGCGACUCUGAGCCAGAGGGAGGAGCGGGAAGUUACUCGUGUUGCCCAGUUUGAUCGCUCUGGGGUGGAGCCGACGCCAUUUUUGUGGGGCCUCCUGUGGGAGAAUGUGGGCUUUUGCCCCUGAUUCGCGCCGGGCUGAAGGCGGUGCGCUAGGGACCUGCAGGGACACCGUCGCCAGACCUUCCGGGCGUCCUAGAUGGUUUCCUUUGGUUUUACCGGGCUCAUGGACUUAACCCCUGGGAGUAGUUCUGAACUUUAAAAGGGUCGUGUCUUCUUUCGUGCCCAUCUAGCAGUCCUGUAUGGGCAGUCAGUGUUCAGUGUUCAGUAUUGUUGAGGCUGUUCCUUGAUUCCUUAUAAACAGAAAUUCUUAGCCAUCCUCAAAUGAGGAAAGAGGGCAUGCUUUGGCCUAUUCACGAAGAGUCUUUGGGAUGAGCGUGGUCACUAGGUUCAUAUAACAAGGAUGUUAAGGACCACCUUUGUGAAAAGAAGGUAAAUUGAGGGGUGUUUUGUUUUUUCAGAAAGGAUGGCAUCGAACUCACUAUGCAGCCCAUGCUGUCCUGGAACUCACAGUGAUCCUCUUGUCUCAGCCUCCCAAGUGCUAGGAUUACAGACAUCCACCACCACACCAGUUGUAAAUUGAGUUGUGAAUGGAAAUUUCAACAUGUAUGGUGCUCUCUUACACCAAGUUUGAAAAAAAUCACAGUUCUCUGUCCAUUCUCCUUACUUCUUUUAU